AGAGUUUGAUCAUGGCUCAGGACGAACGCUGGCGGCGUGCUUAACACAUGCAAGUCGAACGAUGAAGCCCUUCGGGGUGGAUUAGUGGCGAACGGGUGAGUAACACGUGGGUAACCUGCCCUUGGCUUUGGGAUAAGCCCUGGAAACGGGGUCUAAUACCGGAUAUGACCUUCAGUCGCAUGGCUGUUGGUGGAAAGUUCCGGCGGCCAGGGAUGGGCCCGCGGCCUAUCAGCUUGUUGGUGGGGUGAUGGCCUACCAAGGCGACGACGGGUAGCCGGCCUGAGAGGGCGACCGGCCACACUGGGACUGAGACACGGCCCAGACUCCUACGGGAGGCAGCAGUGGGGAAUAUUGCACAAUGGGCGAAAGCCUGAUGCAGCGACGCCGCGUGAGGGAUGACGGCCUUCGGGUUGUAAACCUCUUUUAGUAGGGAAGAAGCGAAAGUGACGGUACCUGCAGAAAAAGCACCGGCUAACUACGUGCCAGCCGCCGCGGUAAUAC
RNAcentral lists this ribosomal RNA (501 nucleotides) under uncultured bacterium. RNAcentral describes it as "bacterial SSU rRNA". It matches the Rfam family "Bacterial small subunit ribosomal RNA", at positions 8 to 526 of the family's 1533-position model. The record is from RNAcentral.